CAAUAUUGGUCUCCAACUCUGAGGUCAUCCUCACCAGCCAGUUGAGGGUCUCCGUUACCUGCAGAACCCCAACAGGAGAGAGGUGAACGGCAUUUAAGCCAGAAGGUGACUGCUGGUCGUCGCUGGAUCGUUGUCUACAACGCGUCAGUGAGAGUCAAGCUACAGCUCAAGAUAAGUCAAGUGUCUUUUGUGAAUAUCGUACUCAUUCCUGUUUCCUCGUCUACAGACCCCCUGGAUUACCUUUCCCGUGUGAAUCUGUGUGUCAAGUGUGAAGAAAGGAACUGCAGUCGUGUAUGUGGAGAGUUGGAGAGCGAGUGAUUCCCCCCUCGGAUUUCCCCGGAGCCCCGUCCCUCACAAUGUUAUAUAUAGCACUGCCCUGCACUCCCUGUAUAUACACUUGGUGAACUCUGUAAAUAAAUCCUUGUGUUCAGCUGA
Molecule: long non-coding RNA, 435 nt
Organism: Oreochromis aureus
Lineage: Eukaryota; Metazoa; Chordata; Actinopteri; Cichliformes; Cichlidae
Exons: 2
Source: RefSeq, a predicted model, not a curated record